This 332-nucleotide ribosomal RNA is filed under the name Klebsiella pneumoniae. RNAcentral's name for it is "bacterial SSU rRNA". It matches the Rfam family "Bacterial small subunit ribosomal RNA", at positions 1212 to 1533 of the family's 1533-position model. The record is from RNAcentral. Lineage: Bacteria; Pseudomonadati; Pseudomonadota; Gammaproteobacteria; Enterobacterales; Enterobacteriaceae.
GGCUACACACGUGCUACAAUGGCAUAUACAAAGAGAAGCGACCUCGCGAGAGCAAGCGGACCUCAUAAAGUAUGUCGUAGUCCGGAUUGGAGUCUGCAACUCGACUCCAUGAAGUCGGAAUCGCUAGUAAUCGUAGAUCAGAAUGCUACGGUGAAUACGUUCCCGGGCCUUGUACACACCGCCCGUCACACCAUGGGAGUGGGUUGCAAAAGAAGUAGGUAGCUUAACCUUCGGGAGGGCGCUUACCACUUUGUGAUUCAUGACUGGGGUGAAGUCGUAACAAGGUAACCGUAGGGGAACCUGCGGUUGGAUCACCUCCUUACCUUAAAGAA